RNAcentral lists this non-coding RNA (158 nucleotides) under uncultured Megasphaera sp. Lineage: Bacteria; Bacillati; Bacillota; Negativicutes; Veillonellales; Veillonellaceae. The record is from RNAcentral.
GGUCAGGUGUCACAGACUUAAUAGAGAAGCCGGUUCAAUGCCGGCGCGGUCCCGCCGCUGUGAGGUGGAGCCAGGCUGCAUGAUGUCACUGUACGUUUUUUUGUAUGGGAAGGCGCAGCUUUGGCCAUGAAACCAAGCCAGAAGAACUGCCUGACGGA